GAGACACCCUUCUGGGGCAAGAGUUGCUUCGGUGGGGCUUUGGUGCUCACUGAGUCUGCCCCCUGAGUGUGUCCCU
Non-coding RNA from Myotis lucifugus (little brown bat), 76 nucleotides. The record is from Rfam. NCBI's taxonomy places the organism in Eukaryota, Metazoa, Chordata, Mammalia, Chiroptera, Vespertilionidae.